RNAcentral lists this long non-coding RNA (1270 nucleotides) under Cairina moschata (Muscovy duck). Its description in RNAcentral is "domestica (muscovy Duck (domestic type)) lncRNA (ENSCMMG00000002701.1)". The record is from RNAcentral. Lineage: Eukaryota; Metazoa; Chordata; Aves; Anseriformes; Anatidae.
CUGCUUGAGAACAUUAAAAGGGUGUUUUUGUCCAAUGAAUUACACCUGUGUCCUUCAAUAUGCAGCAUUUGUAACUUAAUACCCAAGCAGUUUGUGAUUUAAUACUCAAGCAAUUUUCCUUUUUUUUUUUUUUUUUUUUUUCCUUCUUUCUUAAAGGAAUACUUGCAAGCGUGGGGUCAGGUUAAAUCUUUUUGGAAUCAAAGGAAAGUACUGGAAGUCAGGAAUGGCUGAACUGAAACAGGGACCCAAAUGAGCCCUCUGUGGCAAAUCUGUGAUCAAGUACCCCAAACUGGAGUCCAUUGCCUGGUUCAGUUCUGCACUACUGAUCGGAGACAGAGGUGGCAGAUGAAAUGAGGUUACCAUGAAUUAUUUGAGACUUGGCAACACUGAUGGUUUACAAAUACUUCCUUUUUCCUACUUGAGAGGAGAAAAGGGAAUGCAGGAUGCCCUGAAUCAUCUAGUCCUAUCCACCCUGCAGAGGUCCUUGUUGCUGACUUUACUGGGAGAAGAUUGUGAUAAAGACCAGCUUACCUUUUUGAAAUGAAGUAAUCUCCCUCUUCUCCCAAUUGUAAGGUAUCACAAUUGUAAGGUAUGUUUAAGUAAGUGUUAAGAUGUGUUGUUUUCAUAUUAUAAUAUCUAAGUGGUUUUAUAUAUAUACAUAUAUAUAUAAAGCUAUUUUUUAUUAUAAUUUGGUGCCUUAAGUAACUGUAAAGAAGUUUCAUCUGCACCUUGUUACUUGAUUUAAAUUAUUCUCCAUUAAGUCAAUGAAACAGAGUUAUCAGGACUUUACUCUUCUCCAUUUUUUAUCAUUUUAUCUGUAAAAUCACCCUGUUUCAUUCUUUAAUUCUUUGUUUCAAGUUAAUAAAUUCACUUUAGAGAUUUGGUACUCUCAAUUUAUGCAGGAACAAAGAAUGUGAAAAUAGGCACAUACUAACUUAUUCAGUGAAUGAUGCAUAUAAUGAUGUAAUGUUUCUUGUUUAUUUGUCCCCCAUUUUAUAGUUUUCAAAGCUGUUUUUUUUUUUGUUUUUUUUUUUUUUUUUUUUCCCUAAAGAUACUCAUGGAAAGUAAGCACGAAUAUGUGACAAGAUUUUCUGAGGUGAUGGGUACCUUAAGCGCCCGAUGGGUUUAAGUAUGGGUAAAAACAAAGACUGCUAGUUUAGCACCAUCUACAUGUUUUGGACAUCUGUCAGCAUGUUGGUCUAAAAUUGUAUUUCAACUACUGAAUUAAAAUUAUUUUCUGCAAAUGCUUUGUUUCUUUUAUUAAACGUGU